CCCCACCACUGGAAAGAAUGUGGAACUUAUGAUCUCACCAUGUGAAGGAAUGUGACAAGCAUGUGUACAUAUUUAUCUCCUUCUCUUUCUCUUUCCUCGCCCCCUCUGUCCCUCAUAUUGGAAAGUUUGGUGAAGGUCAAAUGACCUAUGGCGUGUAGUCGGGGUGCUGAAUGUUGGCCGUAUAGAUUUGAACUGAGAUCUUGGUUGACCUCUGUUUUAGAAAAGAUUUAAAUACUCCAGCUGAUGUAGUAAUGCUGAGGUUAAUCAU
This 268-nucleotide long non-coding RNA is filed under the name Elaeis guineensis (African oil palm). RNAcentral's name for it is "long non-coding RNA (EGUI_LNC072449)". The record is from RNAcentral. Lineage: Eukaryota; Viridiplantae; Streptophyta; Magnoliopsida; Arecales; Arecaceae.